GAUGAACGCUGGCGGCGUGCCUAAUACAUGCAAGUCGAGCGAACAGACGAGGAGCUUGCUCCUCUGACGUUAGCGCGGGCCGGGGGAGAACACCUUGAAAACCUAACUAAAAGACUGGGACUACUUCGGGAAACCGGGGCUUAUACCCGGAAAAAAUUUUAACCGCCUGGGUCAACAGGGGAAAACGGUUUUGUCGUUACUUAAAGUAUGGUUCGCGCCGGAUUAGAUAGGUGGGAAGGGUACGGGUUACCAAAGCAACCAUGGGUAGGCGACCUGAGAGGGUGAUCGGCCACACUGGAACUGAGACACGGUCCAGACUCCUACGGGAGGCAGCAGUAGGGAAUCUUCCGCAAUGGGCGAAAGCCUGACGGAGCAACGCCGCGUGAGUGAAGAAGGUCUUCGGAUCGUAAAACUCUGUUAUUAGGGAAGAACAAAUGUGUAAGUAACUAUGCACGUCUUGACGGUACCUAAUCAGAAAGCCACGGCUAACUACGUG
This 496-nucleotide ribosomal RNA is filed under the name uncultured bacterium. RNAcentral describes it as "partial 16S ribosomal RNA". It matches the Rfam family "Bacterial small subunit ribosomal RNA", at positions 28 to 507 of the family's 1533-position model. The record is from RNAcentral.